RNAcentral lists this ribosomal RNA (128 nucleotides) under Jaculus jaculus (lesser Egyptian jerboa). The record is from RNAcentral. Lineage: Eukaryota; Metazoa; Chordata; Mammalia; Rodentia; Dipodidae.
CUACAGCCACACCACCGUGAAUGCACCCGUUCUCGUCUGGUUUUAGAAGCUAAGCAGGGUCGGGUCUGGUUAGUACUUGGAUGGGAGAAUGUUAAGAGCCAAAAGAGUAGGACUGCUCACAAUGUGCU